This 468-nucleotide ribosomal RNA is filed under the name uncultured bacterium. RNAcentral describes it as "partial 16S ribosomal RNA". It matches the Rfam family "Bacterial small subunit ribosomal RNA", at positions 28 to 507 of the family's 1533-position model. The record is from RNAcentral.
GACGAACGCUGGCGGCGUGCUUAACACAUGCAAGUCGAACGGAAAGGCCCUGCUUUUGUGAGGUGCUCGAGUGGCGAACGGGUGAGUAACACGUGAGUAACCUGCCCUUGACUUUGGGAUAACUUCAGGAAACUGGGGCUAAUACCGGAUAGGAGCUCCUGCUGCAUGGUGGGGGUUGGAAAGUUUCGGCGGUUGGGGAUGGACUCGCGGCUUAUCAGCUUGUUGGUGGGGUAGUGGCUUACCAAGGCUUUGACGGGUAGCCGGCCUGAGAGGGUGACCGGCCACAUUGGGAUUGAGAUACGGCCCAGACUCCUACGGGAGGCAGCAGUGGGGAAUAUUGCACAAUGGGCGGAAGCCUGAUGCAGCAACGCCGCGUGCGGGAUGACGGCCUUCGGGUUGUAAACCGCUUUCGCCUGUGACGAAGCGUGAGUGACGGUAAUGGGUAAAGAAGCACCGGCUAACUACGUG